RNAcentral lists this ribosomal RNA (1064 nucleotides) under Plasmopara halstedii. RNAcentral's name for it is "partial large subunit ribosomal RNA". It matches the Rfam family "Eukaryotic large subunit ribosomal RNA", at positions 63 to 927 of the family's 3401-position model. Lineage: Eukaryota; Oomycota; Peronosporomycetes; Peronosporales; Peronosporaceae. The record is from RNAcentral.
AACUAACAAGGAUUCCCCUAGUAACGGCGAGUGAAGCGGGAUGAGCUCAAGCUUAAAAUCUCCAUACAAUUUUUGUAUGGCGAAUUGUAGUCUAUAGAAGCGUGGUCAGUGUAGGCACUUGGGGUAAGUUCCUUGGAAAAGGACAGCAUGGAGGGUGAUACUCCCGUUUAUCUCUAAGUUGCUUAUACGUACGACCCGUUUUCUUUGAGUCGCGUUGUUUGAGAAUGCAGCGCAAAGUAGGUGGUAAAUUCCAUCUAAAGCUAAAUAUUGGUGCGAGACCGAUAGCAAACAAGUACCGUGAGGGAAAGAUGAAAAGAACUUUGAAAAUAGAGUUAAAGAGUACCUGAAACUGCUGAAAGGGAACCAAAUCGUUUCCAGUGUCUAUAAUCCGUGGUAUAUCACAUCGGCGAGCGUGUGCGUGUGUGUGCUGUUGUAGUGGCCUUUUGGUUACGCUCGGCGUAUGUGCUGUAUAUGCUUGCUGGUGCCCUGUACUGCGGUGGGACGUCAAGGUCAGUUCGUAUGCUGCGGGAAAUGACUACCAAGGAGGUAGGGCUUACGCUUGCGUUUGUCUGUUAUAUCUUGGUAGACGAGUAGUCGCGGUUGGGACUGAGGUGCCUACAACGUGCUUUUGAGUGGGCUUGGGUCUUCGUGUGCGCCGUGUGCGGAUAGCUUGCUAUGCGUGUGUGGUUGUGUAUGGAUUGAUGCGAGCCUUAACUUGUAGUCGUUCGGGACGUUGACGAAAUGGAACGAUUUGACCCGUCUUGAAACACGGACCAAGGAGUCUAACAUAUGUGCAAGUGUUAGGGUGUGGAAACCCCAGCGCGUAAUGAAAGUAAAGGACAGCGUAAGUUGUCUUAGGUAGGAAAUGCUGCGGGCUUCGGCUUGUGGUGUGGCACUAUCGACCGAUCAUGAACCCUCGUGGUGAAAGAUUUGAGGUUGAGCACAUAUGUUGGUACCCGAAAGAUGGUGAACUAUGCCUGAAUAGGGUGAAGCCAGGGAAACUCUGGUGAAGCUCGUAACGAUUCUGACUUGCAAUCGAUCGUCAAAUUGGGUAUAGGGGCGGG